GACGACCGCUGGCGGCGUGCUUAACACAUGCAAGUCGAGCGGAGCGGCGAACGGGUGAGUAACGCGUGUGUAACUGCCCCCCUCUCUGGGAUAACAGUUAGAAAAGGCUGCUAAUACCGGAUAGUGGGGGAUGACUCGCGGCCUAUCAGCUUGUUGGUGGGGUAGUGGCCUACCAAGGCUCCGACGUGUAGCCGGCCUGGGAGGGCGACCGGACACAUUGGUCUGACAGACGGCCCAAACUCCGACGGGAGGCAGCAGUGGGGAAUAUUGCACAAUGGGGGAAACCCUGAUGCAGCAACGCGCGUGCGGGAUGACGGCCUUCGGGUUGUAAACCGCUUUCAGCCAUGACGCGGUAGUGGCAGAAGAAGCACCGGCUAACUACGUGCCAGCAGCCGCGGUAAUAC
This 404-nucleotide ribosomal RNA is filed under the name uncultured bacterium. Its description in RNAcentral is "partial 16S ribosomal RNA". It matches the Rfam family "Bacterial small subunit ribosomal RNA", at positions 28 to 526 of the family's 1533-position model. The record is from RNAcentral.